UGUCCAGGGGCGGGAAUCGAACCCACAACCUUCUGCUUACCGGGCAGGUGCCAUGUCCACUAGGCUCAUACUAGGU
Cordylochernes scorpioides is the source of this 76-nucleotide non-coding RNA. NCBI's taxonomy places the organism in Eukaryota, Metazoa, Arthropoda, Arachnida, Pseudoscorpiones, Chernetidae. The record is from the annotation of a GenBank genome assembly.